UACCCCUCCAUAUAUGCAUAUCACCUCACAUCUGUUGUGGUGUUUGACCUUCAUGACAACUUUGUGAGCAUUACCAUCUAGCAUGAGACUGGUUCUCCAGAUGAAGCGGAGAUUGAAAUGUCACACCAGCAUGAUCCAUUCGAUGGUGUAGAAUAGAGGCGUUUGCUACCUGACCUUAAUGCACAGAUGUGGAAAACCAGCAGAAGGUUCAGAGGAAAGCCAUGGAAACGAUGAGGGACUAGGAAAAUGAAAUGCAGACAUGAGUCCUGGACAGAUAUCUGGGCUGUAUUUACAUCUGCAAGGAAUAUUUUGCCUGAGAGAUUUGUUCUGAGAUAACACAGCGUGUUGGAUCUCCUGGAUAUUUAUGAGUCUUGGCUUUCAUCACUUUGUGUUGAAUGUGAAUCAUUUGCCUGUGAACGGAACUUCGCAGUAACCUCCCGCUCAUGGUGAUUAGAACUUUCUGCUACAGUUGGCUCUAGCCAGCUCAUGAAAAGUCGAAAUUUCAAGCUAGAUGGGCCUUUGGGAUCAUCCAGACCAAACUUUUAGUUCAUAUAUGGGGAGAAGUUGGCCCCGGAUGCUCAGAGGGAUUUCCAAGGUCCCUGCAUUACUAUUAGGGGCAGGAUGUGGACUAGAAGUCUGUUCUUCUGGCUCAUUCUGCUUCCUGACACAUGAUGUGCUGAGGAGUCACCCAGAAGUCAGCCUGCUUGCUUCAUUUGCAUUCUGGAUGCUGGAAACAAAGUUGAACCAUGUGGGACUUGGGGAGUCCAGAUAGUAGGAAGUGCAGUUAGUGGAGUAGAAUGUGGAGCAAAUCAACAAUAAAAUAUAGGUUUAAACUGAGGAAUAUCUUACAUUUGUGUAGCAUUUGAAAAGAUUAUUUUUUUCUGCUUAUAAAAAUAACACACGCUUAAUUUAGUAAUUUUUUUGAAGCAUAAAAGAAGAAAAUUAAAAUUACUCAACUGUCUUGUCAAGAAAUGAUCAAGAUUAAUAUUUUGGAAUUACAUACACAUAUGUAAAAUCAAAUCAGAUCACAUUGCAUAUGUAAUUUUGUAUCCUAGUUUUUUCAUUUAAUGUUAUAUGCUGAGCACUUUCCUAUGUCAUUGAAUGUUCUGCAAAAAUAUGAUUUUUUUUUGGUGAGGAAGAUUGGCCCUGAGCUAAUGUCUGUUGCCAAUCUUCCUCUUUUUGCUUGAGAAAGAUUGAGGCUGAGCUAACAUCUGUGCCUAUCUUCGUCUAUUUUAUGUGAGACACUGCUACAGCGUGGCUUGAUGAGUGGUGCUAGGGCUGCACCCGGGAUCUGAACCUGCAAACCCCAGGCUGCUGAAGAAGAGCAAGUGAACUUAACCACUACUUCAAGCAGGCCAGCUCCCCAAAAUAAGAUUUUUAAAUGGAUAAGUAAUAUUCUCAGAUUGUUCUUUCUGAUUUUUAUUCUUCUAUAAAAUGAACUAUUAGAACUGGACAAUGUGGAAAAAAUCCUGGUGCAGAAAUAGAAUAAAGGGGUGCUAAGGUUUGGUGCUAGGAUCUGAGGUGUCAGCAUGGAAUGAAUGGUGACAACAGUUAAAAGCUGUCUGUCCUCUAUAAGAAGCAACUUGGGGUCAUUUAGAGGCAGGUGACAGAAGUCAAUUCAAAGACACACUUAAGACAAUGCAAUAGUUUCUUAUUUUGUCCUCUUUGUCAGGAUAAAUUUAUAAUGCAAAGCACUGUUUAGGCCACAGACUGGUCACUGAGGCUGCCACGAAAUAAAGCCCUCAACUCGGGAUGGAGUGGCUCAGAUGCGUAGCCGACUCUUCGGAAUUGAGGCAUUGAUUAUCCAGCUCACUUUGUUCCCCUUCUACACACGGCCUUUAGACCAUGUCCCUGCUUCUUCCUCUUCCACCAGAAGCAGGGCAAUUAAAGGAGGAAGAGGUAAAAUUUAAAACAGUCCAUUUGUUUCAGGUUAAUCAGUUUUGCUAAAAGAUGUGAUGAAGAACGAGGUAAAGUAUUGGAAGUGCUUGCCUUCUUUUACGUCAUGUGUCCCUGUUGCCAUAGAUAAUUGAGACCUUGCAGCUAACAUAACCUCAAAGGUGAAAGUCAAAACCGGUGUCAAGGCUGGUCUAUCA
RNAcentral lists this long non-coding RNA (2093 nucleotides) under Equus asinus (donkey). RNAcentral describes it as "lncRNA (ENSEASG00005030734.1)". Lineage: Eukaryota; Metazoa; Chordata; Mammalia; Perissodactyla; Equidae. The record is from RNAcentral.